CAGGCUAUGAUGAUUGGCGCAGGGGUACGGACCUCAGCCGAAUCAUGGGGGCUGAAUGUAUGUGUUUUUGCCUUUGUCCUGCAUGUGGCAGGUUAAUGGCAAGGCACUUACAUGAGACUAUGCCUUAAUCUGAGCCUG
Molecule: small nucleolar RNA, 138 nt
Organism: Suncus etruscus (white-toothed pygmy shrew)
Lineage: Eukaryota; Metazoa; Chordata; Mammalia; Eulipotyphla; Soricidae
Product: small nucleolar RNA SNORD94
Exons: 1
Source: RefSeq, a predicted model, not a curated record